This is a non-coding RNA of Meleagris gallopavo (turkey), 3605 nucleotides long. The record is from RefSeq and is a predicted model, not a curated record. NCBI's taxonomy places the organism in Eukaryota, Metazoa, Chordata, Aves, Galliformes, Phasianidae.
UCCAACCUAAAUCUUCCAUCCCCCAACUUAAAACCGUUUCCCCUUGUCCUGCAGUUAUCUACCCGUUCAAAGAGUUGAUAAUCGCUCAUAGGGUACUCAGGAGACUUGAUGGUAGGAGAAACAUGCUCUGCCCAACCAGGAAGCCAGCUCAGCCUGAUGGAUAGCACUGUAUUUUUAGGCCUGGAGGCGACAUGGGUACAGCCACGUGUGCACAGCUUGUGUCGUGCUGCCUGGAGGUUGGCAGCACAGCCACUUAACCAGGGUCCAUGUUUCGUUGUUCUAAAAAGCAUAAAUCCGUGUGUUUUUUUUGUUUUUUUUUUUCAGUAUUUCUCAUGCAAGCUUCUUUUCCAGAAGUGCUUUUCAGAAUAUAUGUUGCUAGUUGCAUUGCUUAUGUGCUUUUGCAAAUGGGAAGAGGAGCGUAGGCUCAUGUUGAUCACACUGGAGGCAUUCUGGGAACGCCGAGACACAAGGAGUGGUGAUUUCCUUGUGAUAAGAUAGUGUUAAAUGCACUGAGUCGAAGCUGUGCAAGAGCACUUCUGGUAAAUAUAUCCUUUGCUCUUUCUUCAUAAAAAAUAGGUUCCUGGAUUCUGAUGUGCAGAGCAGGAAAGCUAUCAGCAGGAGCAAUUUGUGGCAAUUCCAUAACGGUGGUCUUGAGCCCUGGUCUGGAGUAGGAAGGAAGUAGUAGGUAAAGUUUGUGCUGUCAUCUGGUCUGGAAGUGCUGUGCUUAACAAAGCAGAUGUAAGAAAGAGGGUGAAUAUGGAGUUGUCCUCUCUAUGUAUAGUUUCCAACUUUGUUCCAGUUUCCUGUCCUGGAGCCUGCAAUGGAGCUGCUGUGCUUGAUAAUGGCUAGUGGGCUUUUGGUGAUGUACUUUGUGGAGAAACUUAACUUGUUUUACCUGAAACUGGAUACCUUGGAGCCUAAAAGCUGUUGGUGCAGAGCUCUCUUGUAGCAAAGAGUUCUGGUGCAUUGCUCGUGAGAGGAAAACCUGGAGGCACAAUUAUAACAGUGCCUGUGUCACGAGCAGCUUUCUGGCACUGCGCUCCAGCUGGCGGAGGAUGGAUUCCAGCUCUUGCUUAAAAAUAGAGAGCUUGUAUGCAUGCCAGGGAAUGGCAAAAGGGGAGGGCAGGGUUAUGCAGAGGUGUUCAGCUGAGCCUGAUUUCAUACAGAAGGAGGCUUGGGAACAAGACGUGUGGGUAGAAUGGGAGAGGCUUAAAAGAGAAGAUAAGGAGUAAUAUUAUUGGCUUCUGCUACCUGGUGGGAAGGUGUAAAGGAGAUAACUCUUGAGGUGCCCAGUGAAUGUACAAGAUGCAAGUUGCAAAGCUGGAAAGUCUGAUAAAGUAGAAGGACAAAAAGCUUUGGUGUGGGUGGUCAGAGAUGGAAACAGCCAAAGGGACUGUGUAGUACCUGUUGUUGGAGAUGUUCUGAACCAGGCUGAAUUUGCUGCUGAGGAACCUGGUCUAACUUGAAGUUCAGCUCUGUUUCCAGCAGAGCAGUAAACUGGAGACCUCCAGGAGCUGCUUGCCUGGAGAGAGAAAUGGUGGAUUCCCCAUCCCAGGAGACAAGGUCAGGCUGAAAGGGGCUCUGAGCAACUUGUUCUAGUUGUAGAGGUCCCUAUUUUUUGUGGGGAAGUUGAACUAGAUGACCUUUAAAGAUCCCUUCCAAAUCAAACGAUUCAAUGAUCCCUUCCCACAGCUUUCCAGUAGUUGAGUACUGUUUGUGGGUUGAAGUGUUGGAGGCUGACUGGAGAUGAGAAAAGGGAAUUUUGUGGUGAUAAAACUAUCAUUCACGUGACCCUGGAAGAAUGUUUCUUCUAUGGGAAGGGAUUGAUACCACAUUAAGAUUGAAUAUUGAUGCUCCAAGGAAGAUAUCUCCUGCUGGUUGAGGCAGCUGUGUAAGCAGCUGAGUUUACCUUAAAGGGAAAUUUUCCCAUCUCCUAGAGUGUGGCAUACAGUCUGUAAUAGUGGGAUGGAUUGGACAGUGCUGUUAGAGAGUUCUCUGUGUGGCUAAUUUAAAGCCCAAUUGCACAUGGUGGGGGAAUACUGCUCAACAGCCAGGAUUCGAUAUUUGUCUUGUGAUCAUUUGGCAUCAGUGUUCCCAUUGCUUAAGCUGAUGUCUUUGCCAAAAGGAUCUCUGGCUUCAAUUUCACUCCUCUGGGAGGAAGCAUCAGUGCAAUUCAUACCAGUCUUCCUGGAAGGGCUGCAAUGUCCUUAUGAGGCUGCAAAGAUGACAUUUUCUUUUUAGUUCAGUUACCUUUGGAAGCAAAGCACAUGCAUACAGCUGUGUGCAAGUCAAUCUUGUUUCUCCUUUUCAAAACAGCCUUGAAAUCAUUGGUUUCCAUCAACUUUGACAGAGAUGUCUAAGGUGUGAGUUACUAUGUAUAUUUAAAAAACCAAACAAAUGAAAAAGCUUCAUAUAAGUUCAAUGACAGCAAGUGACUGCAGAAGAAAUAACGUGCAGCUUGCCUUAGAAGGUGGAGCUGUCACCAGAAUGAACUCCUGCUUUUCAGGAACAGAGCAGCAAGCAUUUGGCCGUGCCCAGUUUUCAUUGUUUCUCUAAGCCGUCACGCUGGAAGAGAUUAACUAGGAAGUGAAUUUUCUCCGAAAGCCCAUCUUGGGGGUGGUGAAGGGAAGAGCCUUGGCACUGACCUUGGUCAGAGUGCCUUGGGGAAGGCAGCGUGACCUGAGCAUGGAAACAUUAACCUGGGGCCGAGCAGUUGGUUCUGAUGGCAGCUGGGAGAGUUGCUUUGUCAGAGCUGAGCCACCCCAGUGCACGCUGCCCUUGUGCUGUGUGUCAUCCAGGUUCAUUUUUAGCAGCAGGGAGGAUUGCUUCUCCCAUUUUUUCCUGCUGUAUUUGUCACCUGCUCCUAAACUUUCAAAAACUUCCUUGCCAAUCAUUUUUUCUGUUGGCAUCCUUCUCUGCACCUAUGCUUGUUUUCACUAAUGUGUUUGGCAUCCUUCUGCAGCUUCUCUCCUUUCUUUUUCUUUCCACUCUGGAACUCAAUAAGCAAAUUGUGUGGCUCAAGUCAUUAAGUAGCUGUGUUGCUAUGUUUUCUGUGCUCUUCAGAGAAGCAUGGAAACCUGUCUUUGUUCAGUCCCAGGAGCACGACACGCCGCUGCAGCUACCAAAGAACAGCUUGCUUGUGGCACAUCGAGCUGCAGCUUGGUUUAAUCCUUGCUUGAUACGCUUUUGAGAUUUUAUUGUUUCUCUAUAAUUAAGUGCUACAGUAGAGCUGAAAGAAAUGAUGAAUUAGCAGGAGAGGGGGGUGCAGGGAGAGCAGGUGGUGAUCGAACCAAGAGAAGCGGGAGCAGCAGGGAAUUGAUGGGGAGGAGCCUUGGGUUGAGAAGCUUCCCUGCCAUGUGCCCAGAAGGAUUUAGUUUUGGAUUUCAUUACUGUUCAAAUAACGUCCAUAGGAGACUGAAGCCUCAGAGGCUGGGUAUUGUCCAAGCACUCAGUGAGAAGCAGUGUUUGCCCUGAAGUUCUAGCAGGCCUGGAUGAGAGAGUAGGACAGAGCUGUAGUGUGGUCCUGUUUCUAAUUAUUCUGCAUCCAUUGUUUCCAUUUUCAUUGUGUAGUAACAUCUUUAAAAAUAAAUGAGAACACAAAACCA